Molecule: transfer RNA, 74 nt
Filed under: Coprobacillus sp. CAG:698
Lineage: Bacteria; Bacillati; Bacillota; Erysipelotrichia; Erysipelotrichales; Coprobacillaceae
Also listed under: 3 other names
Description: transfer RNA-Gly(CCC)
Rfam family: tRNA
About the family: Transfer RNA (tRNA) molecules are approximately 80 nucleotides in length. Their secondary structure includes four short double-helical elements and three loops (D, anti-codon, and T loops).
Source: RNAcentral
GCAGGUGUAGUUUAAUGGCAGAACACUAGCUUCCCAAGCUGGAUGUACGGGUUCGAUUCCCGCCAUCUGCUCCA